This 449-nucleotide ribosomal RNA is filed under the name uncultured bacterium. Its description in RNAcentral is "partial 16S ribosomal RNA". It matches the Rfam family "Bacterial small subunit ribosomal RNA", at positions 39 to 523 of the family's 1533-position model. The record is from RNAcentral.
GCGGCAUGCCUUACACAUGCAAGUCGAACGCGAAAGCACUUUCGGGUGUUAGUAGAGUGGCAAACGGGUGAGUAACACGUGGGAAUAUACCUUCAGGUGCGGAAUAGCCUCGGGAAACUGGGAUUAAUACCGCAUGAUGUCUUCGGACCAAAGAUUUAUCGCCUGAAGAUUAGCCCGCGUCAGAUUAGCUAGUUGGUGGGGUAAUAGCCUACCAAGGCAACGAUCUGUAGCUGGUCUGAGAGGACGAUCAGCCACAUUGGGACUGAGACACGGCCCAAACUCCUACGGGAGGCAGCAGUGGGGAAUAUUGGACAAUGGACGAAAGUCUGAUCCAGCAAUGCCGCGUGAAUGAUGAAGGCCUUAGGGUUGUAAAGUUCUUUAAGUGGGGAAGAUAAUGACGGUACCCACAGAAUAAGCACCGGCUAACUUCGUGCCAGCCGCCGCGGUAA